GCCAGACUCCUACGGGAGGCAGCAGUGGGGAAUAUUGCACAAUGGGGGGAACCCUGAUGCAGCGACGCCGCGUGGGCGAGGAAGUAUUUCGGUAUGUAAAGCCCUAUCGGCAGGGAAGAAGAAAUGACGGUACCUGAAUAAGAAGCACCGACUAAAUACGUGCCAGCAGCCGCGGUAAUACGUAUGGUGCAAGCGUUAUCCGGAUUUACUGGGCGUAAAGGGAGCGCAGGCGGCGCGCCAAGUCUGAUGUGAAACCCCGGGGCCCAACCCCGGGCAUGCAUUGGAAACUGGCGGGCUGGAGUGCCGGAGAGGUAAGCGGAAUUCCUAGUGUAGCGGUGAAAUGCAUAGAUAUCACGCAGAACUCCGAUUGCGAAGGCAGCGCACCGGCGCCCUACUGACGCUCAGGCACGAAAGCGUGGGUAUCGAACAGGAUUAGAUACCCUAGUA
This 447-nucleotide ribosomal RNA is filed under the name uncultured bacterium. Its description in RNAcentral is "partial 16S ribosomal RNA". It matches the Rfam family "Bacterial small subunit ribosomal RNA", at positions 330 to 792 of the family's 1533-position model. The record is from RNAcentral.